UGGCUUAGUAGUUAAAAGUGCUCGGCUGCUAACUGAAACGUUGGUGGUUCGAAUCCAUC
RNAcentral lists this transfer RNA (59 nucleotides) under Loxodonta africana (African savanna elephant). It matches the Rfam family "tRNA", at positions 8 to 63 of the family's 71-position model. From Rfam's summary of the family: Transfer RNA (tRNA) molecules are approximately 80 nucleotides in length. Their secondary structure includes four short double-helical elements and three loops (D, anti-codon, and T loops). Lineage: Eukaryota; Metazoa; Chordata; Mammalia; Proboscidea; Elephantidae. The record is from Rfam by way of RNAcentral.